RNAcentral lists this small nucleolar RNA (103 nucleotides) under Clavispora lusitaniae ATCC 42720. Lineage: Eukaryota; Fungi; Ascomycota; Pichiomycetes; Serinales; Metschnikowiaceae. The record is from RNAcentral.
AUCAAGUGAUUGCAGUGAUUAUGAUGAAUCUGAGUGCAUUUGGCUCGAGACUUUCUGUCGGUGUGGAAAAAACCAAGCUACCUUACUUUUUUUUUGACUGAUA